RNAcentral lists this transfer RNA (70 nucleotides) under Loxechinus albus. Its description in RNAcentral is "tRNA-Val". The record is from RNAcentral. Lineage: Eukaryota; Metazoa; Echinodermata; Echinoidea; Camarodonta; Echinidae.
CAAGACAUAGCUAGUUAGUAAGUUUCUCUUUUACACGGAGGGUACGCUCGUGCAAUUCGGGCUGUUUUGA